RNAcentral lists this ribosomal RNA (437 nucleotides) under uncultured bacterium. Its description in RNAcentral is "partial 16S ribosomal RNA". It matches the Rfam family "Bacterial small subunit ribosomal RNA", at positions 29 to 507 of the family's 1533-position model. The record is from RNAcentral.
AGCGAACGCUGGCGGCAGGCUUAACACAUGCAAGUCGAGCGGGCAUUCUUGUGGUGUCAGCGGCAGACGGGUGAGUAACGCGUGGGAACGUGCCCUUCGGUUCGGAAUAACUCAGGGAAACUUGAGCUAAUACCGGAUACGUGCGAGAGCAGAAAGGUUUAUCUGCCGAAGGAUCGGCCCGCGUCUGAUUAGCUAGUUGGUGAGGUUAUGGCUCACCAAGGCGACGAUCAGUAGCUGGUCUGAGAGGAUGAUCAGCCACACUGGGACUGAGACACGGCCCAGACUCCUACGGGAGGCAGCAGUGGGGAAUAUUGGACAAUGGGGGCAACCCUGAUCCAGCCAUGCCGCGUGAGUGAUGACGGCCUUAGGGUUGUAAAGCUCUUUUCUUCGGGACGAUAAUGACGGUACCGGAGGAAUAAGCCCCGGCUAACUUCGUG